Molecule: long non-coding RNA, 237 nt
Filed under: Elaeis guineensis (African oil palm)
Lineage: Eukaryota; Viridiplantae; Streptophyta; Magnoliopsida; Arecales; Arecaceae
Description: long non-coding RNA (EGUI_LNC071514)
Source: RNAcentral
ACUUGAAGGUGUAAAAAUGCCUAGACAAAGAAAGAGAUGGCUGAACUUCGACUACGUGGCAAAGGGAGAGGAACCCUAUCAAAAACCUAAAGAAAUUCGGUGCGACGGAAGCUAAAGAAAUGUCUAAAAAAUGGAAAAGGGCGACAACAAAGGGCGGAAGUGGAAGCCGGAGCCCGGUGGGGAAGGCCUCCUGGUACAGGCAGAAACAUUCAGGUGGGGGGUGCUGGCCCAAUCGGC